Bactrocera dorsalis (oriental fruit fly) is the source of this 572-nucleotide long non-coding RNA. RefSeq lists it as uncharacterized. The record is from RefSeq and is a predicted model, not a curated record. Lineage: Eukaryota; Metazoa; Arthropoda; Insecta; Diptera; Tephritidae. The transcript is spliced from 2 exons.
AAUUAUUUAGUUAUUUGCUUAAAAUAAGCAUUUUAUAUUUUACACAAUUUUCAUUCCAUGCACAAUAACAAAAGUAUUCCGUGUUUACAGAUAUUAAGUGUUGCCAUAAUUACACAUAUAUCAAACGAAUAAGAAUGGAUAUAAAAACUCAAACGCAGAAAACAAAUACUAUCUGAAAUAAAUUUUCCAUUGUAAUAAGAAAAUUUUUAAGGCUUUAUUGGCGGCCUUCGGCCGCGCUUCAAAAAAAAUAACCCUGGCCAAUCCAACACCGGGGUGUAUCAAGUUUUUUUUUUAAUUAAAACUCCUUUUCGCGUUGGCGGCCUUCGGCCGCGCUUCAAAAAAAUAACCCUGGCCGAUCCAACACCGGGGUGUAUCAAGUUUCUUUUAAGUAAAACUCCUUUUCGCGUUGGCGGCCUUCGGCCGCGCUUCAAAAAAAUAACCCCGGCCGAUCCAACACCGGGGUGUAUCAGGUUUCUUUUAAGUAAAACUCCUUUUCGCGUUGGCGGCCUUCGGCCGCGCUUCAAAAAAAUAACCCUGGCCGAUCCAACACCGGGGUGUAUCAAGUUUUUUUU